RNAcentral lists this long non-coding RNA (619 nucleotides) under Centruroides sculpturatus (bark scorpion). Its description in RNAcentral is "uncharacterized LOC111622549". Lineage: Eukaryota; Metazoa; Arthropoda; Arachnida; Scorpiones; Buthidae. The record is from RNAcentral.
UAUUAGAAUAAUAUGAAAUAAUUUAAAAUAAAUAUAUCGUUAGAGAUGUUUUAUUUGUCAUUUUAUUGCAUUAAAAACAAGUUGUAACGAGACACUGGGGUCUCCAAAAUUUACAACUAUUUGACCUUUAGCCAGCUGCUUGGUGAACUUUCGCGGGACGUCCUUACGUAAACAUCGAAGGGAAUCGGUUUGAGGGGAGGGUGUUCUAGUAAGGUGUGCAGUAGUUCCAGGAAUAAUCCCAAUAUGAACACGUGCUGUUUGGUCAUUACUACUAUUUCUCUGAGGGAGACCGACUUCCUUGUCCGAUUCAGGAUUAAUUCAGGAUUCGUACUUGCGUCCUUUUUGUCUAACCUGGGUUAACUCGGAAAAAAGUACUUAAAGGGUUUUUACUACGAUUCUCAAGUUCAGAUUAUUUUACUUGUGACUUAUACCUAAUUACCCUUUCACAAUUUCACAAUGGAAAAGAAAGUAUUUUCAAAUUCAAAGUCUGCAGUUUUUGAAUAUUAUAAACUUACUACGGAUGGAAAAUAUUAUCAGUGUAAAUGCAUUGUAGAAAAUGAUGAUGGCAAACAUGUAUGUGAAGCAAAAAUUAGCGCUUUUGCUAGUUCUGAAAAAAAAA